AAUCAACGCUGGCGGCGUGCCUAACACAUGCAAGUCGCACGAGAAAGGGGAGCAAUCCCUGAGUAAAGUGGCGCACGGGUGAGUAACACGUGAAUCAUCUACCUCCGAGUGGGGAAUAACUGAGAGAAAUCUUAGCUAAUACCGCAUAACACUUACGAGUCAAAGCAGCAAUGCGCUUGGAGAGGAGUUCGCGGCCGAUUAGUUAGUUGGCGGGGUAAUGGCCCACCAAGACGAUGAUCGGUAUCCGGCCUGAGAGGGCGCACGGACACACUGGAACUGAAACACGGUCCAGACUCCUACGGGAGGCAGCAGUGGGGAAUUUUGCGCAAUGGGGGAAACCCUGACGCAGCAACGCCGCGUGGAGGAUGAAGUAUCUUGGUACGUAAACUCCUUUCGAUUGGGAAGAUAAUGACGGUACCAAUAGAAGAAGCCCCGGCUAACUUCGUGCCAGCCGCCGCAGUAAC
Molecule: ribosomal RNA, 464 nt
Filed under: uncultured bacterium
Lineage: Bacteria
Description: bacterial SSU rRNA
Rfam family: Bacterial small subunit ribosomal RNA
Source: RNAcentral